Molecule: ribosomal RNA, 450 nt
Filed under: uncultured bacterium
Lineage: Bacteria
Description: partial 16S ribosomal RNA
Rfam family: Bacterial small subunit ribosomal RNA
Source: RNAcentral
GUGGGGAAUAUUGGACAAUGGGCGAAAGCCUGAUCCAGCCAUGCCGCGUGUGUGAAGAAGGUCUUCGGAUUGUAAAGCACUUUAAGUUGGGAGGAAGGGCAGUAAGUUAAUACCUUGCUGUUUUGACGUUACCGACAGAAUAAGCACCGGCUAACUUCGUGCCAGCAGCCGCGGUAAUACGAAGGGUGCAAGCGUUAAUCGGAAUUACUGGGCGUAAAGCGCGCGUAGGUGGUUUUGUAAGUUGGAGGUGAAAUCCCCGGGCUCAACCUGGGAACUGACUCCAAAACUGCAUGACUAGAGUACGGUAGAAGGUAGUGGAAUUUCCUGUGUAGCGGUGAAAUGCGUAGAUAUAGGAAGGAAAACCAGUGGCGAAGGCGACUACCUGGACUGAUACUGACACUGAGGUGCGAAAGCGUGGGGAGCAAACAGGAUUAGAAACCCUGGUAGUCC